This 2758-nucleotide long non-coding RNA is filed under the name Lotus japonicus. RNAcentral describes it as "long non-coding RNA (LJAP_LNC002007)". Lineage: Eukaryota; Viridiplantae; Streptophyta; Magnoliopsida; Fabales; Fabaceae. The record is from RNAcentral.
GAAGUUGAUUUUCGCCGUUUCUUGCCUGAUUGCUUCACCGUUCGUUGCUAAUCGAAGACAUCGAGGUAUAGUUACUAUCCCUCACUUCUGAUCGUCAGAUCUGUCGACUUUUUCUAUGUUUUUCUGAGCUCAAAGUUUGGAGCUUUUUGUAAAACUGUCCAAAUAAGCUGAUUUUGGUGUCUAAACUUAAUGCCUACGUGCUCUAGAGCAUGAAUAUCCAGUUGUUUUCGACUGAAUCCUGUCGAAUCGUCGCAGAGGUCAAGUUUUCUGAAAAUACCCAUUUUCUGACAGAGGUUCCGCUUUUUGGAUCAAAAACUCUCGACUGAGCUUAGCUUCAUUAGGAUUAGUUGUUAUAAAUGUCGUUAGGAUCGAGCUCAUCAAAUUUGUUUUUCGAAAUUCUGAUUUUGAGUUUCCGAGCUAAAAAUAAUGACCAAAAUACCCCUGUGACAAUUUUCGACCCGAUAAUUUUUCUGAGAGUUUCCCUGGCGUAGAUAUCGCCUAAGAAUACCUAGGGAUUGAUUUAGAUCGAAGAAAAAGUUCGAAAACCCUAUUUUCCAUAGUGGCCGAAACCUAUUUGCUUGGGUACCGUGUCCAAAAAUAAUUUUUGGGUCUCUAUGACCUGAGCCAUUGCGUAGCUUUUUCAAUUGUGGAAAUUUUGGCGCCGGUUUCGUGUCAUUCCGAGUUCUGUAGCUCAAGUUAUGCACGUUUUAGCGAAUAAAGUGUUUUUGUACAAAACCUGAAUCGAGUCAAAACUCAUCCAUUCGGGGAAAGCCCUUCCUUUCGUGCCUAAAUGUUGUACUCUGAAGCUUCUUGAGCUUAGUCGAACAUUAGUUAGGAUUGUUUCGACUGUAUCGACUUGUGUUGAUUCAUUAUUGCUUUGUUUGCUCAAAGGUUCAAUUGUGGAAACCUUGGGAUUGACUGAACAAGCUUGUGAGGGAGACCUACACCGCGAGACUGGAACAACUCGAGGUUAGGGCAACUUACUUACUAGCUAUUUUCGUGUGUAGGCGUCGAUAAAUUCGACUUGAAUGUAUUGUGAUCAUGAGUGGCAACUCACCGUUAUUAGUUAAUGACCUAGAGUCGACUUGUUCGACUUAUUUGUUAAAUUCUGCACAAAUAUUGCAUGAACUGUUCUGAAAAAUGUUUUCUGGAGGCUUCGGCCGAGUGAACUUAUAUGAGACGUGUGUCUCCGUUUUCUGAGAGGCUUCGGUCGUUUACUGGUUUCUGUCUUAUCGCUUUCUAGUGGACAUGACAGGGUUAUGUUUUGCAGCACUGCAUUAAUGUUUCAUCGCUCAAUAGAGCUUGAUUUAUUUGUGUUUAAGAUUAAAUUGUGCUGACUGUAUUCGUGCAUUUAAUGCGACUUUCGGAGUGUGGAUUACACUUAUCUUCGUCAUGGCAAUGACGGGUUUGUUUUGGGAAUGUUUGAUAGGUCGAACCAAGGUUCGAGCCUUUAUUGUUUUAGGAAUCGAGACCUUCCCGGGGAAUUACUUGGGUUUAUUGGGAUCUUUUUACUUAUAGAGUUUUGAAACAAACGAAAUCAGAACUUGAUUUGUAAAUGAAAUUCAUAAUACACUAAUCAAAGAUAGAACACUUUUAAAUAAUGAUGAUAACCUCUUGGAAAAGACUUAGGAUGUGAAAAUGGUUUGGAAAACGGGAAGGGUCGACAAUCUAAGUGUGAGGAAAACUUUGAGUGCGAUAGCACCUUUUGUUCCUUUAGUGGUUUAUCUAGCCAUCCAAAGGAUGAGCCUGGGAUGAUUGGAAAGUCCCCAAGUGCGAGUGCACCAUCUUUGCUCAUUGAGCAGCCUUUCGGCCAUCGAGCUGAUGAGCCUGAGUAAAUUGAAAAGUCACUGAGUGCGAGCAGCAUUCUCCUUGUUCGUUGAACAGUCCAUUUGACCAUCGAGCUGGUGAGUCAAAGUAACUUGAAAAGUCACUGAAUGCCAGAUGCAUUCUUUUGCUCGUUGAGCAGUUUGUUUGGCCAUCGUGACGGUGAGCCCAAGUGACUAGUAAAGUUACCAAAUGCGAUUAGCACUUCUUUGUUUACCUUAGGGUAUUGUAGAGACAAUGUACUCUAGCUAGACACGCGUGCCUUGGUGAGGACGAUUCGUUGUUUGGCUAACCAUAUUGCAUUCAUGCAUACAUUUCUUGGAAAGUGUGCUGCUUUCCGAAGGACGAUAUCAGAUCGGACUUCAACGGUGCUAGAUGCCCCAAAUGGAGCUAGCUGCUUCACAAGAGCGUGCUGCUUCACAGGAGCGUGCUGCUUCAUAAAAGCGAGGUGCUUUAGCGAAGCGAGGUGCUUGGCUUGUCCCAUCCAUCGAGAUGGUGACAUUUUAUCCGGAUCAUGACAUUGCACUGGCACGCCAUGCACCUAACCAUACUUGUGGAUGUUAUUGUGAUUUGUUGUUGAUAAACAUCGUUAUAUAUAUCUUGAUGAUUUUAUGUUGAUAAACAUGCUAUGUAUCAACCUUAUGGUAGGCAAUACAUGACUUAUACGUAUAUAUACAACAUAUAUAUAUACCCCCUUUAUCACAUGUUGUUUGUAUUAUCUAUUUUAUUCCGUGAGUUGACCCUAGCGCCUUGGCUUUGUGUGUAUGUUUGUGUUUGGGCGGUCGGCCUGCUGCCAGGCGUCCGUCAGCCGGUUCAUGAUGAUUCGUUGUGCGGGAAAGACCCGGAGCGUAAUGACUAUUACUGAAGCUUUCGACGAGGACCCGGACUUCAGGCCUGAUCGAGGAAGGGUCGAUGAAAGUAGUGUGGGUUAUGG